GCGGCCAAGGGGUAGCAAUACCCCCUAGAGCGGCGGACUGGUGAGUAACGCGUGGGUGACCUACCCUUAGGUUGGGGAUAGCCAUUUAGAAAUAGUGGGUAAUACCGAAUAUGGUUGUUUUGCUAUGGCGAGACAAAGAAAGGAGCCUUGGCUCCGCCUGAGGAUGGGCCCGCGUCCCAUUAGGUAGUUGGUGAGGUAAAGGCCCACCAAGCCCGAGAUGGGUAGCCGGCCUGAGAGGGUGAACGGCCACACUGGGACUGAGAUACGGCCCAGACUCCUACGGGAGGCAGCAGCUAAGAAUAUUCCGCAAUGGACGAAAGUCUGACGGAGCGACGCCGCGUGUAUGAAGAAGGCCGAAAGGUUGUAAAGUACUUUUCUUGCUGAAGAAUAAGCGUGGGAGGGAAUGCCCGCGUGAUGACGGUAAGCAAGGAAUAAGCCCCGGCUAAUUACGUGCCAGCAGCCGCGGUAACACGUAAGGGGCGAGCGUUGUUCGGAAUUAUUGGGCGUAAAGGGCGCGUAGGCGGUUACGUAAGUCUGGCGUGAAAGGCAGGGGCUUAACUCCUGGACUGCGCUGGAAACUGCAUAACUUGAGUCAUGGAGGGGGAGUUGGAAUUCCUGGUGUAGGGGUGAAAUCUGUAGAUAUCAGGAAGAACACCGGUGGCGAAGGCGAA
Molecule: ribosomal RNA, 671 nt
Filed under: uncultured spirochete
Lineage: Bacteria; Pseudomonadati; Spirochaetota; Spirochaetia; Spirochaetales
Description: bacterial SSU rRNA
Rfam family: Bacterial small subunit ribosomal RNA
Source: RNAcentral